GGAAGAUUCCUCUAAGAAAGUUCAGCUAAAGAAAGGGUGUAGGGUGUAUAUGUUGCCUUAUUCUGAAUAUUUGGCCUUAAAAUAAGUUAAUGACCGUAAAUACUUUUAUAGUUAGAGUAAAUGCUAUGUAGUCAAUAGCUUUCCUAAGAAACUGAAAUAUAGAAUAUAACACUUUUCCUAAAGUAAUACUCCAGAAUGCUUGUGAACCUUAACAGAUAUGUCUUUUCUGGAGACUCAACAAAAAAUGCAAAAGUACAAACAAGCAUUUAUUCUGGUCAAUCAAGGACAAAUACAGAGAGAACUAGAAAACACUCCAACAAAGUGACAUCAGCAACAUGGUGGAGUGAGCUGUUCCCUUUGUCUCGACCCCCUUGAACUUCUACUAAAUGGACAUUCAUUGAUCAGCAGAGGAUACCCACGUAGCAUAUGAGGAUGCCUGAGAGACUCACACAGUUAUACAUCUGAAGGUGGAUGGACUACUCCCAGGGAGGUGAUGGAGAGAGGUGAGCACUCUCUGGCCCCCUAGCAGCCCUGUACGUGCGUGCAACUACUCUCCCAGCCAGAGCACCCAUAGCAUCACUGUGGCCCCCAGUGUGGGAGCAUGCCUCAGUGCGACUGUGGGAACAGGUGAUGGCAGCCCUGAGACCCUGGUGAUUGCUUUCUUGUCCGGUGAGAGAGCCCACAGUGCUGUUUCAGUCCUGAGGAGUGGCUCAAGCAGGCUUAGACCCAAUGGGUAGGCCCUCCCCACCAAGCACAACAGCUGGUGUGACCUAGAUAGAGACGGUGGUGGAUCUGUGCACCCAUAUAAAUAAGUUCCAGGCUGCCGAGAACACCCAUAGUGCUGCAGCCCCAAAGGGGGGAGCACUUCUUGGCAGGACUGUGGGAGCAGGUGUCAGCAGCCUUGAACUCCCAUGUGAUUGCUUUCCCAUUCUGUGGGAGAGCCCAUGAGGCUGCUGCAGUCCCAAGGAGUGGCCUAGGCUCAGUCUAUACAGCUGACAGUGAUCACUGUGGGCUCAGAAUACACAGCUCCUGCUCCCCCUGCCCAGUGGCAGCAGAAGGAAUCUGCGACAAGAUACUAUCACUAUGCAAAGGCACAAAUCCACCCCAUCAAAUAAUAUGAAGAAGUAUAUUAACACUCCAG
Molecule: long non-coding RNA, 1141 nt
Filed under: Equus caballus (horse)
Lineage: Eukaryota; Metazoa; Chordata; Mammalia; Perissodactyla; Equidae
Description: lncRNA (ENSECAG00000056131.1)
Source: RNAcentral